This 325-nucleotide ribosomal RNA is filed under the name uncultured eukaryote. RNAcentral's name for it is "partial 18S ribosomal RNA". It matches the Rfam family "Eukaryotic small subunit ribosomal RNA", at positions 1470 to 1796 of the family's 1831-position model. The record is from RNAcentral.
CCCUUAGAUGUUCUGGGCCGCACGCGCGCUACACUGAUGCAUUCAACGAGCCUAUCCUUGACCGACAGGUCCGGGUAAUCUUUGAAUCUGCAUCGUGACGGGGAUAGAUUAUUGCAAUUAUUAAUCUUCAACGAGGAAUGCCUAGUAGGCGCAAGUCAUCAGCUUGCGUCGAUUACGUCCCUGCCCUUUGUACACACCGCCUGUCGCUCCUACCGAUUGGGUGUGCUGGUGAAAUGUUCGGAUCGGCCGUUUGUCGCGGUUUCCGCGGCUCGUGGCUGAGAAGUUCAUUAAACCCUCCCACCUAGAGGAAGGAGAAGUCGUAACA